AAACCCAAAAAGAAAAAAGAGAAGAGGAUAAAAAUACAAUGUUUGAUUGACUGACCGAGAAAUUUGGCAAACACAGGUGAAGAACAUUUCCAUUCUCCCUACAAAUCCCAAAAACCCUGCAACAAACUUCUCUCUGUGACGAUAAAUGAUGGCAAUUCCCCUCCAAACUCUCUCCCUGUCGUCCCGUUCUGAACCCCAAAGCCCAGCUCUCUCUCUGAACUCUCUUUCUCUUUGUCUUCGGCACUCUCCAGACCUCCCCUCUCUGCAACAACUUCACGCUCAUCUUCUCAAAACCCACAACCCUCAACCCCUCUCUCUCUCCAACACCCUUAUCUCCAUGUACUCUCUCUACAAC
Molecule: long non-coding RNA, 355 nt
Filed under: Amborella trichopoda
Lineage: Eukaryota; Viridiplantae; Streptophyta; Magnoliopsida; Amborellales; Amborellaceae
Description: long non-coding RNA (ATRI_LNC004745)
Source: RNAcentral